CUUUUCCCCUUAUCGCUUAUUCUGUUCUUCGGCACGCACGCACGCACGCACACGGCGGCCUGUGCGCACAGGCCGCCGUGCUGUGGUCCUCUCUGAUACCUCGCGCGUCGCACGCCAUCCCCUCUUCUCGACGUCUGCGCGUGUGCUCGUCUGUGCUUUUGCUUUCGCUUCCAUUCUCACGGCGGGGCUGAUGUGCUGGCGUUCGUGUGGUACCGCGAGUGGCACCGCGAAUGACUCCCGCUCUCCAUACUCCCUUCGCGUCUGUACUUGUGAAAGGUGUGGCACGAGAGUCGGGCAUUGACGAAGGCAGGCGGUAUUCUCUUCGGCUCUUUCACCAUUCAGCGCCGCCCUCAUGACGUGGGCACAAACACCUCCGCGCGUGGCAUCCCCGGGUCCGGUGUGUCCAGCUCGGUCUGGGUGGACGCCGAGCAGCCCCCUCUCCCCGCCCCCAUCCCGGCCGAAUGCCGAGCCACUUCUGGCGGUGCGCGUGCCAAGCGCCUACGACGUGGGCGAGUGAGAGCGAGUCGUCGCUGCGGAUGUCGGCGGGCGGGUCCUGGACGGCGUGGCGCCGGGGCGAGCGGCGGCAGUGAACGCGUUUGUGGUUCUCAUCGGAUAGGCAAAAAGUGUCCGCGCGACUCGAGCGUAUGCCACACCCGGCCCUCGCACCGCCUGCUGGUGUGGGGCGCCUGAGAGCCACCCUACGGUGCGCGGGGUGGGUGGGCGGCGCUUGAGGGCACGGGCCCUCCUCGGGCGACCGGGUCGGCGCACUGCUGCAACGCGUGUCUACCGGUGCUUCGCACCACGCGGAUGCGGCCUGCGACAGGGUCGGGGGUGGAGCGGCGUUGGACCUCACGUUGUGCGGCAGAGAAAUGAGGCACGCUAAUGCGAAAGGAAGCGCAUGUCUUCCGUGUUUUUCCAGCUGCUUCUGAUGGGGCUGUGCUCGCGAGGGUCCAGCCAUGACGUACGUCAUGCGCAAGGCUCUUGGAAAGGCCCCAUGAAAGGCGCACAGACAUGCCCGCACAGCCAUCUGGCCACCAAUAACGCACCGCUGUGAUCACCACCACCACUCGUCUCCUGCCCUCACUUCUGUCCGCCACUCCACCCGCUCGUCCUCCUUUUAUUGGUGACCUUCUCGGCGUAGUCACGGCGCGAGUGGCAAGGAGAGAUGGGGCAGGCUUGUGCCGGCCAACGACAGACCGCAGGCACAUCCGCACCUUGUUUUGCCCGACCGUCCACGAUGCGUAUCAUCUCUUGUCCCAUGUGCACCAGCCCGCGGCUGCCGCUGCCCCUGUACACUCGCGCGAGGCACCGCUUCAUCGUGAAGCGCUCCUCUGCGGCUAGCCAAGGACGCGUGCGCAUGUGUGUGUGUGUGUGUGUGUGUUUGUGCUCCGCCCUCUGCCUUCUCUUUGGGGUUUUCUCCAUAUCUCUACGCAGUGGCCGCGGAGGGCCGCUGCAGCCGCAUGCGCCACCCCUUCCCAUCCUCGCUUAUCCGCACUCACCGUCUUUGUUGUUCGCUCUGUCUUCGUAGUCGCGGGCGGCCGUACUUGAU
This 1549-nucleotide unclassified non-coding RNA is filed under the name Leishmania donovani. RNAcentral's name for it is "gene:unknown". The record is from RNAcentral. Lineage: Eukaryota; Euglenozoa; Kinetoplastea; Trypanosomatida; Trypanosomatidae.